UUUUUGCCUCGCUAACUCGAGUCCGCGGGGUGGUAGAGUAGGUGGGGUACAGGCAAUAUCUGGUCGCUGUGUUUAGCAUCAUGGAAUCCUUUGAUAUCGAAGAAAUCCUCUUAGACGAUGAUGUACUUGAAAUGGCUGGCGAAGAAAAAUUCGACGUUCCCUCAUCUACCGCUGAUAGUUUCAGUGGGGUCUGUUUGGAGAUCUUGCAAGAGUCCUGCAAUGCUUUAAUUGCUGUCAGAUGACUGCAUAUCCGACAGCGUAAAGGAGAUAAUCCGUAAUAUAGAUGGACCUGCACUUCUUCAGGAUUUACAAUUCCUGAAUCAGUGUUUAGUGAAGAAGGGCAGGUUCAAAACUGCGGCCAAAGAAAAGGCUUACUCCAAUUUCAACAGGGAAUUUGUCAGUCAUUGUAAGGAUGUAGAAAGGCACAUCCCAUCACCUGCAUCUACAUGGGUCUGCCUAAAGGUGUUUGAAUUUAUGGUAAACAAGAAAUACAACUUCCCAUUAAGCAAUCAGGCAACCAGUGUAAGUGAGGUCACUGACGAAGAAAUAGACAUUGUUGAGUAUAUUGCAGGCUAUGUGCUGUGUAGUGUUAAGAGACGAGCACUAAAAUUAUCUCAUACUGAGAAAGAAGACAUUUUAUUAUGUAUAAAAGAACUAAUACCUGAACAUGACACAGCUUCUGAACCUUCUGAUAGAUCAUUGACUCAAAUUCUGGACAGAGGGGGUCUUACAAAAUUAAAACCUGUGCUUGAGAUUUUUCUAAAGCUAGAGUCUAUUUUUAGACAAUGUUUUGAAUGAACAUGUGUACCGUUUGAACCGGCAUUCUCUCCCCUAGGUCAUUAUGCAAGUCUAAGGCCUAUGCUAUCAAUAGUUUUCGAGCUAUUUUUAACUAAACCAGGUCACCCUUUUUCGUAUUGUUGACUGCCAUUGGCUUAUAUUGUGGUUUCCAGUACAAAAGUUAAAACGACGUGAUCUGAUUGGUUCGUACCCAAACAAUGAUCACUUCUGUCGUCUCCAAAAUGGCUGACAUUUGUUGAUUCAUUCCAGCUUGGUUUGCUCUUGACGCAUAGUUUGCUGAAUAUCGUCUAAUUUACGAGUGAAAAGAACAAAUCUUGGUUCAUGAUGAGACCAAUGAAUCUGUAUCCCCUACCUUAUACACAUCCGUGAUGAGAUCGAAAAUAUGUUUAGUUGUAAAUGAUUCAUAUAAAUUUAUGAUCUGGUUACAAAAGACAAGAAGGUAAAUUGACCGAGGAAGAUGUUAAAGAAGUUUUGUGACCUUUCCGUCCAUAGUUACAUAGCCAUCUCUUGCCCCACUCCACCUUUCUUUCUCGAUGCCUUUCCUCUUCCAGCCAUCAAAAAGGACCUUCCAUUCAACUGAUAGAGGAAGAAUGCUGUGACACGCGAGCACUGAACCUGGUAGGCUCCACGCCUCUCACCUGGGACGCAGGUGUUAUAACAAAGCUAUUCACUUGCGGCCUAAUAACGUAGUGGUAAAACAUUUGCUAUCGGCACAUCGAGGUCUUCUGCUCUCACACUUAUAUGUAGUCAAUAAAGAUUUAUAAAUCCCUCAUGCAAUUAUUUAGCCAACUACUUUGAAACAUCAGAAAUUUGUAUUUGAAUAAAUCAAGCCAUUGCAUAAGAUUUGUAUUACACAAAGGAGUAAACUGUUAAAAUUAUUUUAAUAUAUUGGUAUUAUACAAACGUGGUGCACUGUGGUUGGUGAAAAACACAACUUUGGAAAAAGCAAUAUGUGCAUGUGUGUCCCAUUGAUCAUAUUUUCUAAAAGUUGACCAUUCUCACCCUAAUGCAAAAUUCUUUCUCUAGAUUUUGCCACACUUGAAAAUCUCACAAAAAAGCAUGCACAAAGAGAAGAUUGUAAGCAUGAUAAUAGAUCAUUGAAAGAGGUGGUGGGGAAGGGGGACAACAAGAGUAUGUUGAACAGCUACAGACUAAGCUAACAAACUUUCCUGGAGAAAUUCAUCUUCAGCAGCACCAGCACUGGUGGAAUGUGGGGCCUUACCAACAUACGGUAAUAAAUGACAUAGCAUUGUAAUACUGUAAAUGGUGGCUUCUGAAUAAUAAUAUAAAAAAAUCAGACCACAAAUUUUGAAAGAAAUCCUUUCGGGAAGAAGCAUUCUUUCCAGUCUUGAUGAGGUGGCAACCUCGCCCUUGUAAGUCAAGUCAUAUCUUCAAACAUUUUUUAUCCUCUCAGAUUUGACAGCUUUCUGACAUGAGGGAAGCCUAAUGGGGGAAAGAACCAGCAUUAAAAGUAAUGCAUAAUCAGAAUUUACUUUUACUCCACAGAAAGGGGAUAUGAUUUGAGAUCUUGGAAUUUUGAAGAUUGUGAAAACUACUGAUUAUCUCAUCUCUUGAGGCACCAUCCCACCAGGUGCUAUGCACAGGGCCUUCUUUGGGUGUGGGGGCCUUGUGGGUUCCCCUACUUGCCACCCCCUAGUGCCAGCAUUGGCUUAUGGCAUAAAGUAUUCUCAAUAAUAAUCUGAUCUUGGCAGUUUUAAUAGGAGCAACCAAAUGUGAAAUCAGACAAACUAUGUAUAUUACUUUUGAUGAGGGAAUGUUCGCCUAAUCUUAAGUUGUGAACUAAUUAAUAACUGUGCAUAAUAAUAAAUGAUGUGAAUUACAUGCCUUUCUGAAAAUAUACAAUGUCAAGUUCUCUGAAAAUGCCAGAGAUAAACAAUUUUCCUGAGAUGACAGAUUUUAUGACUUCAUUUACUUGAGUGGUAUCUUGUUUCAAACAAAGUAUGCCAUUUUUCAGGUAGAAAAUGUUCACAUGCAGUAUACACUAUAUAUUCAAAUAAUCUAAUUAAUCGUUGCUAAAAUAAAACUGCUGAUGGCUGUUAAGCAAGUCCAUAGCUUGUAUUUCUAUAAAGCGAUGCAACAAACAUUUAAAUCCAUAGUUGUUUUUUUUUUUGCACAUCCCUUUCAACAAAAAGGUACUUUUCUGUCACACAAAGUAUUCAAAAUUUUCUUCAGACAGGAAAUAACAAUUGCCUCAUACAUAUUCAAAAACUUGCAUGCAAAAUGAGGGUGAUGUGAUGCUAUGAAAGACGAGGCUAAAUAAUACUGUCAUUCUCAUUUUAAAAAAAGCAGUCAUGAAAAUUGUUGUGCACAAAGAAAUUGCAGGUCUGAAAAAAAUAUUGUUUCAAAAGAGUAGCUGCAAAAGUGAUAAAAUUUUGGCAUACAAUAUAUCAGCUGCAUAUGAAGAAUCAAAUUUCAAGUAUGCCCUCCAUAGCAAUACACAAAAUAUUUUUAAAAUGCUCCAAAAGGAAAACUUUAAAUACAUAAUAUGUACAUAUAUUAUCUGUAUACAAAUGAGUCUGCUUAAUGCCUGUAUUUACAAAAGUAAGAGUAUUUCAGAAAGAACACCUUUUGGUUUUCCACUACUAUAGCAUAUUUUCUCAGCUUUCAAACUGCUUCAAUAUCCACCUUGUUCAUGCUGCAUGCACUAAUGAUCAAGGAGACUUAAGAAAGCAGAGCCCUGUACAUAAGCUUACACAAUAAGAGGCUAUCUUUUAGCCUUAAUAUAAAAAAAAAAAA
Molecule: long non-coding RNA, 3555 nt
Filed under: Pomacea canaliculata
Lineage: Eukaryota; Metazoa; Mollusca; Gastropoda; Architaenioglossa; Ampullariidae
Description: uncharacterized LOC112558565, transcript variant X3
Source: RNAcentral